Molecule: non-coding RNA, 148 nt
Filed under: Gorilla gorilla gorilla (western lowland gorilla)
Lineage: Eukaryota; Metazoa; Chordata; Mammalia; Primates; Hominidae
Source: Rfam by way of RNAcentral
CCCGGGUGUGGUGGCGCACAUCUGUAGUCCCAGCUACUUGGGAGGCUGAGGCGGGAGGAUCACUUGAGCCCAGGAGUUUGAGGCUGCUGUGAGCUGUGAUUGUGCCACUACACUCCAGCCUGGGUGACAGAGUGAGACCCUGUCUCUA